This is an RNA transcript of Xiphophorus couchianus (Monterrey platyfish), 3889 nucleotides long. It is a transcript of the gene named regulator of G protein signaling 14b, with no coding region annotated. Lineage: Eukaryota; Metazoa; Chordata; Actinopteri; Cyprinodontiformes; Poeciliidae. The record is from RefSeq and is a predicted model, not a curated record. The transcript is spliced from 19 exons.
AUCUUUGUGGUUUCGUUAAACAUUUUCCUCUUCCUCUCACUAAACAUGGUGGCUCUCAGUGGACUUUUUCACAAGUUUUCUCGCCUGGCAAAAUGCGUUUCUCUGAAGCAACACAGGACGUACAAGAAAUUGCGUAUUUUAGUUUGUUGUAACAGAGAGGGGAGAAAGAGUCAGGCAGUGUCAGAUGGAGAGCUGAACAUGACUGCGCGGGGCUGCGGAGGCAGCAGCUCCAGCCUUCCAGGGACCCCAGGAGGGGACGUCAACUCCGCCAACAGUGUGCUGAGCUGGGCCGUCUCUUUUGAGAAGCUGUUGGAAGACCCCCAUGGGGUCUGUUACUUUACGGCCUUUUUAAAGUCCGAAGUGAGUGCAGAGAACAUUUUAUUCUGGCAAGAAUGUGAAAAGUUCAGGAAGAUUCCAGCCACAUCUUUGGAUCAGUUGAAAGCAGCAGCUCGCUCCAUCUAUGGCACUUACCUGUCUGACAGCGCUCCCUACAGUGUGAACAUCGAUGACACUGCCAAGACAGAGGAGAAGGAUCUGGAGAAACCCACUCCUGACAUGUUUAACAAAGCUCAGGCUCAGAUUUUUAAAUUGAUGAAGAUGGACAGCUACCGGCGCUUUGUGCGCUCUCCUCUCUAUCAGCGAUGCAGCUUGGCAAGUGUAGAAGGUAAACAUCUACCUCAGCUCUCGACAGAGCCCGUCCGCAUGGGGUCAUGGGACGACAUGGCCAACAAGAGCCCCACAAGUGACAAGAAGAACAGGAAGUCCGACUCCAAUAGUCUACCAAGUGGUACUAGUGUCUCAGAGAAACAGCGACAGAAAAGAGGAUCCUGGGGAGAUGCAUCAAACGGCUCAGGUCCUCUGAAGCAGUCAAAUAUGUCGAUCAAAUCAACCAGCAGUGUGGAGCUUGGCUCCCUCUGCAGACAGAUGGAGAACGGUCGGCCGGGUCCCACCUCCCGCGAUCAGGCUGCUGGCAUCGGGAGCCGUAUGGGGGUGGAGGGGGGUUACUGCUGUGUCUACCUGCCCGACGGCAGCGCCUCCCUGGCCCCUACACGUAAUGGGCAGCCCAUCAAGGACAUGCUGGCCAGCCUGUGUGAGAAAAGGGGCUUCCCAUUAAAAGACGUGAUGAUUUACCUUCAUGGCAAGGACAAGCCCUUGUCACUGGACCAGGACUGCUCCGUGCUGAGAGAUCAACAGGUCUCUCUUGAGCUCAGGGUGACAUUUGCGUUGGAGAAUGCCUUUACUGGUAAAACAGUGGGAAUCAUGGUGAAGUCCAGUAAAACACUGCAGGACGCCCUCUGUUCAGUGAUGCAAAAGCACCAUCUAAAGCCGCAAGAGACAGCGGUAACCAUGGUUGGAAGUGACGAGCCUGUGAACCUGAACUGCUCUGUGUUCAGACUAGCCAAUAAGACGCUGCGGUUGGAAAGAGCCAAAGGUAAAGAGCAGACCAUUAUUCCCAGAGGAGGGAGUUCUUCUCCUACUGCACAGGCGGGAUCAGGGAGUGGAGGCCUGGAGCCUCGAUCAUCGACUCAGACCGACAGAGUCCGGACGCAGCAGAGACCCAGUAAGAACCGCGACAUGGACGGAUUUCUGGACAUGCUGACCAGAGCUCAGUGCUGCAGAGUAGAUGACCAGCGAGGCCUUCUGACCAAAGAACAACUAGAGAUCCCUUCAUUCCUGCAGCUUUCUUCAGACCAGGGACAGAAUACAGACGAUUCAAGUGUAACCAGCUCUUCCACUACCGACUCCAAAACAGAGUCAGGGGACAAUGCAGAUGUUCUGGCUCCAGCUCCAGCUCCGGCUCCAGCUUCGGCUCCAGCUCCAGCUCCAGCCAAUAAAUCUGAGGAAAGUUCUGAUGCUCCUAAAUCUGAAUCUAAAGACUUGAGGGAAACAACAGUUUGACGCAGAAUUGUGUGGAAAGACAAAGUCUUAAAACCCAUUGCAUAUCUAACAGAAAUGUGAUCUGAUUUAUGUAAAAAGAUAGUUGUUGGUCCAGAUGCACUUUCUUUAAUGAAUAAGCUCACACUUGGCAGUAUUUUCUUUGGCCUCAGCCUUUGAUCAAAUGGGCUUUUGAAGGCAAGUGUAGAUGGGUGAAAACAUUCUGGCAAACAUUUGUGUAAUUUUUAAAACACUACAGAUCUUCCCUGGAGAAUGUUUGCUACGAAUCUAUACUGUACCCAUAAAUGCAUAAAACGUUUGACCUUAAAAUUGCACCCUGAAACAUGUUGUACAGAUUAAUUCACCCUCGAACCUGCAGUCGACUCUAAAGCUUACGUGUAUGUCUGCAGAGGAAGCAUGGACUGUUCUGAGUAGCCCUGUUAAACGUGCCUUGCAUGUCUGUGUCUUAUGAUGUCUAAAUAUUUUAUGAAGAUUAGCUUUUAUUACUUGAAAUAUGUGUUUUCUUGUGUGGGCACUUGUUUAUUUGUAAUGCAUGUUUUGCAUGGUUUGUUGUGAAGGCACUUUGUGAAGCUCUGGUCAUGCCUCGUUCCCUGCCACUUCCAAUUGCAUUUCGGGAUUCCUAAAGUUAAAGGGUGACAGAUUCAGUGUUAUGUUACCUAGCAAAACUUUCAACCGACUCUGUUAAUUUGUUUGCUAUGAAAGGCGUUAUAUUUUUCAAUAAAUCCGAGGUCGGUUUCUGCCUGAAAGAACUGGUUCGUGAUUUGGUUUAAAUUAUACAUUCAGCGUGCUGUAAGAUGACUCGAGCUCAGUGGAGUGACUGGAUGAGUCAUGCUCAACAAUACAAGACUGAUCCAUCUGAGUACCUGCAAACUCUUUUUAUAUAUCCAUUUUUUUUUUUUUUUGGUUUAUCCUGAUAAAGGAAAACUUCCUCCUACAUGUAACGUCAGUGAUGAUGAUCUUUGCAGAGUUAUGAUUGGUUCCUUGGAUAAGUUUGUAGCGAAUGAACUGCUUUUUAUUUCCCAAGACUUGUUGCUGGAUGUGGGUUUGCCAUUUUUCUGUGAUGGCUAGGCAUUAUGCGAGUUACAAAACCUAUUAGAUGACUCAUGGAUGAUCUCAUCCCCCUGGAUGACGUCAGCAGUGUAUAUAUUUCAUAGUAUGUGGCAGCACGUGGUUUUGGAAUGCAUCCCAUCUAACAUGCUUGUUUAGACCAUUACAUGCAAUUGUUAUGGUUGCAAUUAAGCUCGAGAAAAUGAACGGCACUACAUUAAUGUGCAAAGUGUUCAGACACCAUAGCACACCUGGCAUUUGCGUGUUUGUGUGUUUGCACGUCUAGUCGUGCGUGAGUGGUGCGUCGGUGGAGCUAUGAAUGGGCAGAGAGGGGUGUUCUCUCACACACAGCGUCACAGCUCUGGGAUGAGGAGUGCCAUCUACUCUACUGCACGUCUGCUGUGCUGCUGAGAGGAAAGAAGACAAAGGGGGAGAAAAGGAGCUUUACUGUUGUCCAAGAAUAUUCGAAAGCACAAGGCCACUCUUUAGCACUGACCUGGAAAAUCUCCACUUGGCCAUGGAGCAGAAGACAAAUGAGUGUCCCACCUCUACCUCUCCUCAGAAGCACAUGAAGAACAGGUCUAAAUCCACAGAGGAGAUGCAGCAGUCCAGGAAGGCAUUUUCCUCACAAAAGUCACUGCCAGGCAGGCCUGAUCUGGAAAAAGUGAAGGAGUGUCUCGAUGGCUCUGACACGCCUUCGUCCUCCACAGAAGAGUUGAAGUGACAAAUGGCAUCAACAUUGAGCCACAAAGUUGCGCAUAUAAAAUGUACAUAUGUCAACAAAGAAAAUGCUUAAUAUUUAUGAUCAUAGAUGGCUAGAAUCUACUCAAGCUGUGAAUUUCAGGCUGAAUCAACCUUAUCGGAAGUCUACAUCUGAUGAAGUUGUGUCAUUGUGCUGUGACUGAAAUAUAUGUGUAGUAAAAGUACAGUGAUGUUGUUGGAUAAA